UACGUAGGCAGCGAGCGUUGUUCGGAGUUACUGGGCGUAAAGGGUGUGUAGGCGGUUGUUUAAGUUUGGUGUGAAAUCUCCCGGCUCAACUGGGAGGGUGCGCCGAAUACUGAGCGACUAGAGUGCGGGAGAGGUAAGCGGAAUUCCUGGUGUAGCGGUGAAAUGCGUAGAUAUCAGGAGGAACACCUGUGGUGUAGACAGCUUACUGGACCAUUUCUGACGCUGAGACACGAAAGCGUGGGUAGCAAACAGG
Molecule: ribosomal RNA, 253 nt
Filed under: uncultured bacterium
Lineage: Bacteria
Description: partial 16S ribosomal RNA
Rfam family: Bacterial small subunit ribosomal RNA
Source: RNAcentral